This 1979-nucleotide ribosomal RNA is filed under the name human gut metagenome. RNAcentral describes it as "bacterial LSU rRNA". It matches the Rfam family "Bacterial large subunit ribosomal RNA", at positions 1 to 1977 of the family's 2925-position model. The record is from RNAcentral.
GAAAGUAAGCAAGGGCAGACGGUGGAUGCCUUGGCUCUCGGAGGCGACGAAGGACGUGAUAAGCUGCGAAAAGCCCGGGGGAGGCGCAAAUAGCCGUUGAUCCCGGGAUAUCCGAAUGGGGCAACCCGGCAGGCUGAAGGCCUGCCAUCCCGUAAGGGAGGCGAACGUGGGGAACUGAAACAUCUAAGUACCCAUAGGAGGAGAAAAUAAACAAUGAUUCCGUAAGUAGUGGCGAGCGAACACGGAAGAGCCCAAACCCGUGCCGUCUAGGCGACACGGGGGUUGUAGGACCACGACGUGGCAAGAAGGAAGGGAAAUGGAACGACUUGGAAAAGUCGGCCAUAGACGGUGAAAGCCCGGUACAUGACUCCCUUACGAAGCCUAGUGGUAUCCUGAGUAGCGCGGGGCACGAGAAAUCUUGCGUGAAUUAGCGGGGCCCAUCCCGUAAGGCUAAAUACUCCCGAGAGACCGAUAGCGAACCAGUACUGUGAAGGAAAGGUGAAAAGAACCUCGAACAGAGGAGUGAAACAGACCCUGAAACCAUGCGCCUACAAGCGGUCGGAGCAUGUUAAAAUGUGACGGCGUGCCUUUUGCAUAAUGAACCUACGAGUUACUCUCGCUGGCAAGGUUAAGCGAUUCAGUCGCGCAGCCGAAGCGAAAGCAAGUCCGAAUAAGGCGUACAGUCAGCGGGAGUAGACGCGAAACCAAGUGAUCUACCCUUGGUCAGGUUGAAGGUUGGGUAACACUAACUGGAGGACCGAACCGACUAAUGUUGAAAAAUUAGCGGAUGACUUGUGGCUGGGGGUGAAAGGCCAAUCAAACCGGGAGAUAGCUGGUUCUCCCCGAAAGCUAUUUAGGUAGCGCCUCGUGAAUUCAUCUCCGGGGGUAGAGCACUGUUUCGGCAAGGGGGUCAUCCCGACUUACCAACCCGAUGCAAACUGCGAAUACCGGAGAAUGUUAUCACGGGAGACACACGGCGGGUGCUAACGUCCGUCGUGAAGAGGGAAACAACCCAGACCGCCAGCUAAGGUCCCAAAGUCAUGGUUAAGUGGGAAACGAUGUGGGAAGGCCCAGACAGCCAGGAUGUUGGCUUAGAAGCAGCCAUCAUUUAAAGAAAGCGUAAUAGCUCACUGGUCGAGUCGGCCUGCGCGGAAGAUGUAACGGGGCUAAACCAUGCACCGAAGCUGCGGCAGCGACACUAUGUGUUGUUGGGUAGGGGAGCGUUCUGUAAGCCUGUGAAGGUGGCCUGUGAGGGUUGCUGGAGGUAUCAGAAGUGCGAAUGCUGACAUAAGUAACGAUAAAGCGGGUGAAAAGCCCGCUCGCCGGAAGACCAAGGGUUCCUGUCCAACGUUAAUCGGGGCAGGGUGAGUCGACCCCUAAGGCGAGGCCGAAAGGCGUAGUCGAUGGGAAACAGGUUAAUAUUCCUGUACUUGGUGUUACUGCGAAGGGGGGACGGAGAAGGCUAUGUUGGCCGGGCGACGGUUGUCCCGGUUUAAGCGUGUAGGCUGGUUUUCCAGGCAAAUCCGGAAAACCAAGGCUGAGGCGUGAUGACGAGGCACUACGGUGCUGAAGUGACAAAUGCCCUGCUUCCAGGAAAAGCCUCUAAGCAUCAGGUAACAUCAAAUCGUACCCCAAACCGACACAGGUGGUCAGGUAGAGAAUACCAAGGCGCUUGAGAGAACUCGGGUGAAGGAACUAGGCAAAAUGGUGCCGUAACUUCGGGAGAAGGCACGCUGAUAUGUAGGUGAAGCGACUUGCUCGUGGAGCUGAAAUCAGUCGAAGAUACCAGCUGGCUGCAACUGUUUAUUAAAAACACAGCACUGUGCAAACACGAAAGUGGACGUAUACGGUGUGACGCCUGCCCGGUGCCGGAAGGUUAAUUGAUGGGGUUAGCGGUAACGCGAAGCUCUUGAUCGAAGCCCCGGUAAACGGCGGCCGUAACUAUAACGGUCCUAAGGUAGCGAAAUUCCUUGUCGGGU